GGAAGGAUGGCCGAGUGGUUAUGGCGUGUGACUCAAGCUUUGUGCUUCUUCGCCUUCCAAGGUGGGGUUUCUCAUGGGCUUAGCCCGCGGGGGUUCGAAUCCCCCUCCUUUCA
This 113-nucleotide transfer RNA is filed under the name Tuber magnatum (white Piedmont truffle). It matches the Rfam family "tRNA". Rfam says of the family: Transfer RNA (tRNA) molecules are approximately 80 nucleotides in length. Their secondary structure includes four short double-helical elements and three loops (D, anti-codon, and T loops). Further hydrogen bonds mediate the characteristic L-shaped molecular structure. tRNAs have two regions of fundamental functional importance: the anti-codon, which is responsible for specific mRNA codon recognition, and the 3' end, to which the tRNAs corresponding amino acid is attached (by aminoacyl-tRNA synthetases). tRNAs cope with the degeneracy of the genetic code in two manners: having more than one tRNA (with a specific anti-codon) for a particular amino acid; and 'wobble' base-pairing, i.e. permitting non-standard base-pairing at the 3rd anti-codon position. The record is from Rfam by way of RNAcentral. Lineage: Eukaryota; Fungi; Ascomycota; Pezizomycetes; Pezizales; Tuberaceae.